RNAcentral lists this long non-coding RNA (1342 nucleotides) under Felis catus (domestic cat). RNAcentral's name for it is "lncRNA (ENSFCAG00000047177.1)". Lineage: Eukaryota; Metazoa; Chordata; Mammalia; Carnivora; Felidae. The record is from RNAcentral.
AUGACUUCGACUUUUCAUCAUUUCUCUGAGGGACACGGGCCAAAGGCAAGGCUGGCAGACCUUGGAAUCAAGGGCAGAAGGCCUCUGGAGAAGGGACAGCCACACAGAAACUACAGCGGAACAAGUGUCACUUCCGAAAUGCAAUUUACAAGUUGUUACUCUCACAGCGGCGCGGAGGCACUGAAAGAGCGUUUGCACCGUUUGGAACCCGCGGAUGCUGUUUGGUUUUUCAGAACAGCUGUCUCGGUGACCUCUCCCCGGGCUCAACUCUCCCCUGCCCGCUUCCCUUUUUGUCUUUUAAAGCCCCAGCAUAUGAGGAUUUGGCAGCUAGAACAAAGUUGAGCACCACUGACACAGGAAAUGGUCCACGGCUGGACUGGCGCCUGAAUGUAGCUGAAUGGGGACACACACACCCGGCCCUUAGCAGAGAAGCAGUUGUCACUCAAAGCGCUGAGCUCCAUGGCACUGGCUUCCUCGGCUCCCCGUUCUAAGUGUCUUGACUGUGUUAGGAAGGUAACAGUAGUGGUGGGACACGGUACAACUCAGUCUUUGUUUCAGUUUUUAAAAAAAAAAUGUUUAUUUUUGAGACAGAGACAGAGUAUGAGCGACGGGGGGGCAAAGAGAGAGGGAGACACGGAAUCCAAAGCAGGCUCCAGGCUCUGAGCGGUCAACACAGAGCCCGACGUGGGGCUCGAACCCACCAAAUGUGAGAUCGUGACCUGAGCCAAAGUCGGACAUCCAACCCACUGAGCCACCCAGGUGCCCCUAUAACCCAGUCUUAACCUUGUAGUUUGGGUGGCUCUUCAGGAAGAGGAAGAGGUAGGAAGUCAACUGGCACUUAACUCACUGUAUCCCGCGCUGUGCUGGGCACUUUGUAUACAUUCUGCAAAGGAGAGUGAGUGGUUUUCCAUCGCUGUCUGGGUGUGGGCCACACUACCUGUGUGGUCUUGGGCACGUCGCUGGACGCUUUGCCUCAUUUUCCUUUGGUAACGCUGGCAACCAGACCUACACCACUGGGUUACUAUGAGGAUUAAGUUAAUUAUUGUGCGUGAAGCUCUUCGUGCCAGGAACAUGUGUGCCAUUAUUAGCUUUAUUAGCUCAUUUUAACACAGCCCUGCUUAUCCUUUUAUGAUCUAGGAAACCGAGGCUCAUGGAGAUUAAGUCAAUUACCGGAGAUGGCAGAGCCUGAAACCAAACUCAGAUUUAUCUGACUGCCGUGUUUUCUUCUCAUAACAUGACCGGGCCUGCUUGAUGCUAUCGAAUUCCCUCUUCUGCUUGCCAGCUUCGGGUUCAGUGUAUUAGCCCUUCUUUGUACCGACAGGGGUGAAAUCCUAUACGACUC